GAUGAACGCUGACAGAAUGCUUAACACAUGCAAGUCAACUUGAACUUCGGUUUGGGUGGCGGACGGGUGAGUAACGCGUAAAGAACUUGCCUCACAGUUAGGGACAACAUUUGGAAACGAAUGCUAAUACCUGAUAUUAUGAUUUUAGGGCAUCCUAGAAUUAUGAAAGCUAUAUGCGCUGUGAGAGAGCUUUGCGCCCCAUUAGCUAGUUGGAGAGGUAACGGCUCACCAAGGCGAUGAUGGGUAGCCGGCCUGAGAGGGUGAACGGCCACAAGGGGACUGAGACACGGCCCUUACUCCUACGGGAGGCAGCAGUGGGGAAUAUUGGACAAUGGACCAAGAGUCUGAUCCAGCAAUUCUGUGUGCACGAUGAAGUUUUUCGGAAUGUAAAGUGCUUUCAGUUGGGAAGAAAAAAAUGACGAUACCAACAGAAGAAGUGACGGCUAAAUACGUG
RNAcentral lists this ribosomal RNA (454 nucleotides) under uncultured bacterium. RNAcentral's name for it is "partial 16S ribosomal RNA". It matches the Rfam family "Bacterial small subunit ribosomal RNA", at positions 28 to 507 of the family's 1533-position model. The record is from RNAcentral.